This 468-nucleotide ribosomal RNA is filed under the name uncultured bacterium. Its description in RNAcentral is "partial 16S ribosomal RNA". It matches the Rfam family "Bacterial small subunit ribosomal RNA", at positions 28 to 507 of the family's 1533-position model. The record is from RNAcentral.
GACGAACGCUGGCGGCGCGCCUAACACAUGCAAGUCGAACGGAGUCAAGAGGAGCUUGCUUUUCUUGACUUAGUGGCGAACGGGUGAGUAACGCGUGAGUAACCUGCCCUGGAGUGGGGGACAACAGUUGGAAACGACUGCUAAUACCGCAUAAGCCCACGGAUCUGCAUGGAUCUGCGGGAAAAGGAUUUAUUCGCUCUAGGAUGGACUCGCGUCCAAUUAGCUAGUUGGUGAGGUAACGGCCCACCAAGGCGACGAUUGGUAGCCGGACUGAGAGGUUGAACGGCCACAUUGGGACUGAGACACGGCCCAGACUCCUACGGGAGGCAGCAGUGGGGGAUAUUGCACAAUGGGGGAAACCCUGAUGCAGCGACGCCGCGUGGAGGAAGAAGGUUUUCGGAUUAUAAACUCCUGUCGUGAGGGACGAUAAUGACGGUACCUAACAAGAAAGCACCAGCUAACUACGUG